CUAAAGCACUGAGACAUUUUCGUCCUGAUUUCCUUGUCUGUUGCCUGGGUUGCCCGUCUUGGCUGGCUCUUCAGGAGCCCUGAACCUUUUUAUCUUCUACUUUUAUCCUAUAGAUAAGCUGUUUCUCAGUUUUCUCCUCCUUUCAUUUGCCCUAUUUGUCCAUCACCCCAUCUUCCUCUGAUACUUUCCUUCAGGAAUAUGUCUAGAGUCAAUUCCUUACUGAGUUUAGAAGGCUCACUUUGAGCAGAUCAGCAGUGGUGAAUCAGUAGGUGAUUCAAAAGACUCCCAAACUAUAAUUUACAUCUUAGGAAAAGCCUAAAUAGGUGGCUUUCAUUUUUCACAAAAUUUUUUCUUACCUGUUGAUAAUAAUACUAACAAUGAAUCUGCCUGUUCAAGGUGGCUGACAGAGCAUACCUGUUCAAUAUUGUCCCCCCUUCCCAAAUUCUGUGUGAAUGAAUGAAAAUAGAAAUAUUGAACAUAAUAACAUAUUUCUACUUUAACAUACACUCAUUUGAUUUUUACAACAAAUCUGAGAGUUAGGCAGUGAUGGCUACCUUUUAGCUGAGGAAGCUAAGUCUCAGAGAGAGACUAGCUUGCCCAGAGCAAACAGCCAAUCAGUGGAGGAGCUGGCACUGCAACCCAGUUGUCCAGAAUUGCCUCAUUCAGAGCUGUAGUUUGUUGAGGUUAUUUUACUGUGCAAAUCCAACCAUCCAACCAGGCAGGCUCAGUUUCUAAUUGCCUUAGAAUUGCUUAGAUGGUGAAGCAACUUUGUAUCUGAUUUAAAAUUCAAAGGUCUGCUUUAUUUGCAUUAGAUCUCAAUUUACAGCAUAGGCUGUAACUGGUCUUACCAUCCAUUCCUCCUGUUACACAGGCCCUCUCCAGAGUAUCAGAAUUUUCGUUGGUGUCUGGGUGAGGGUGAUGCCUGAGGUUCACUGAGUUGGCUCUCUUAGGUAGCUCUCUAUUGCAUUUAGUAUUAUGACAGUAUCUAUGUUUUGGUUUGGUGGAUAAAAUCGUAAUGCUAUUUGAUACAUGGUUUCUUAAAACUUUUUACCUUAUUGGUAUCUACACGAAAGCAAUGCCAAGUGUCUGGUUUCUAAAAGUGAUGAGCAGAAACAGAUGAGGCAGGUGUCUGUAGAGACUUUGUCUUGUCUCUGAGUUCAAAAAGAUUUGAGAACCAUGGUUUCAGAUCAUCCUAAAUAAAAUACAAGAUUCCAGAGCAUUUGUGUAAAGAGGAAAUUCACCCAAUCCAUGGCUUUAUUGACAUCAUUAGGCAAACGCUUAUUGACCAAAACCUGUUUAGGAGAAAACUGAGCAUAAAUCCUUAUACUGGCCAAGACAAACAACUUUUAGCUGUACACAGCAGAUGGAUAUCAGAGUGAAUUCUACAAAUAAAACCAAAUCAAGCCAAACAAACAAAACACCAGGACCUAAAUCUGAGAAUUUGAGCACUGUCAGAUAAGGUGGUAAGCUGCAAGAUAUAUCUGAUAACUAAAGGAUUUGAAUAUACUGACAUUUAAAGAUAAUAAUUUUGCUUAUUUCUUAUUUGAUUGCAUUUAUUGUAGAAUUUGGGAAUAAACUACUUGUUAUUUUACUCUAUGGACAUAUUGACUGCUAUUUUUUGGUUACAUUCUCUGUCAUCCUCUGUAUCUUGUUCACUGAUUGUGUAUAGACAGUACAUAUUUGCACACGUACCAUGUGUUCCACAUAUACACAUACACUGUGUAGUUAGUGGCUAUCACACAUGCAUACACACACAUACACACAUCAGGAUUACAUUGCACAUGCUAUAUUGUAAGCUUUUUCCCCUUAAAUACAUAAUAAAUUUACUUCCAUGGCAACAAAUAGACUUAAACAUUAAAAAGUACCUUAUUUUCAAGGCCAAUUUGUAGGCACACAGGCUACUAUAGAAGAUGAGGCCCAUAUUACAACUGAAUUUCCACCCAGCCAGCAAUAUCCAUUGCUUCUAUACAUUGGAUUUAAUUUUUUAUACAGUUUAUCCUUUACAGAUUGGCGUUCAGAGUUUAGGUAGCUGGUUGAUAGAGAAGUAUAGGCAUGCCUUGUUUAGAUAUGGGAUGAAUUUCUGAAUCUGAGAGACCAACCAAAUGAGCCAGAUGAGCAAGAGGUGGUGUCAGCAGAACAUAACCUCUCUGAAGGCGCUUUUCUGCAAUUGAGCUCAUAACUACUUUGAAUUCUUUUAAAAUCUCCUAAAUUUAGGAGAUGCCUCAGGCCAUUUUUUAGGCUAGGAUUCCCUCAAUUGUGGUCAUUUUUCCCAAGCUGCAGUGGUAAUUCCCUGGCUGCUUUUGACAGGCACCCUGUGUCCCUUGCCAUUUCUCUGAAGGCAUCUUGAGCUGUUUUAAAAGUAGUGUUUUAAUGCUCAGUGUGAUAAUCUUCCUCGCCACUUUUGAGUCAUUUUCAGCACAAUUACUUGCAAACUUUUUGUUAUCCGUCACGAGUCAAAAACCUUCACUGGAACAUGGCAUGAGGGCAGGAAGAGAUAAAGUGACCAAAGAUUCUGGUGUAACAAGGGUAGUAUUGGUAGGAGUGGUCCACUGUGGGUGCAAGCAAUGAGUGGGCACAUUGUCUGUAAAGAGCUUAAAAACAGUAAUCAGACAAAAAAUUGGUCUGCUUUGUUAUCAUUGAGCACCAGCAAUUCUAAAUGAUGUCAGUGAUAAAAAUCUUCUCUGUACCUCAGCUGACUGUUCCCAUCUGGUGCUGCUCUGGGAACACCACUGCUGAGCAAACACUUCCAGGUUCUGUCCACAGUGAAGGAAGCACAGUUGAGUUCAUUAGUACUUUCUGGCUGAGAGCAUUAAAAUACCAUACACUAGAUCUGCAUUGUCAAAUAAGGUAGCCACUAGCCACAUGUGACUGUUUACAAUGAUAUCAAUGAAAAUAAAAUAAUAUUAAAAAUUCACUUCCUCAGACACACUUUAAGAGUUCAUUAGUGCUAUGUAAGUAGUGGCUACCAUAUUAGACAGUGUAGACAUAGAAUAUUAUCUUCAUUAAUGAGAACUCUAGGAGACAGUGUUGCUUUAGACUCUACCAGCAGUCUGGCCAUAAGAAAAACAUAUAUUAAAUUCACUGCACAGAUGUACUGUAUAUAGUAAACAUUAUUGUAUGCAUUAUAUAUAUAUAUGGUCAUAAUAUUUAUGAGAAUAAAUAGUGGCAUAACAAGUCAGCAUUUUAUGGCACAGCAUUAAAUGAGAUAGUGUCUCUGCCCAUAAAAGUUUGAGAGUAGUUUAGCUCAACGUUAAUAUUAAAUGCCCACUAUGUGCCAGAUACUAGGCUUAGUAUUGGAGAUAGCAGAGUGAUUAACUGAAUGCCUGCAUAGGAGUAGUUUAGAUCUAGUAGGGGAAACACACAGGUAAACAAAUAUUACACUGCAGUGAGAUAGUUACAAUAAUUGAAAUGUGUUUAUAGUAUGUGGUCAGUACAAAGGAACGCUUAAUAAGCUACCUCUACCUUGAAGGUGGAAGUUGGUAUUUGAAGUAUGUGUGAGCAAGGGCAGUAUGGCAAUGUAAUUGGGGAAAUGAAGACCUAGGGUGAUUUACUUACAAGGACCAAUUCAGCCCAGGCUACUGUAAAAAGGAAUACACAAGGUGGUUUCUGGGCUCAAGGAAAAGGGGUGAGCUGUACUAUAAGCACUGAUGUUGUUGACCUGGAGGAUGAGUUAGGUUGUCAGGAUUAGAAAUGUCAGCUGAGAUAAUGUCAUAGAAUCAUAAUGUCAUAGAAUCACAGAAGUUAUUGUAUGAAGAUUGAAUCUUGAAUAAUAAGUAUGAAAUGAAUUGGGGAUAAUGGCCGGCUAAGUUUGGGAAGUGGGGAGGAAGUAAUAAAGGACAAAGUAUCGCAGGAAAAAACAAAGAAGCAUUUGACCCAAUGUUGAGUCCCAUCUAGAAUAACAUUUGUGCUUUUUGCCAUAAUUAAACCAGCAGAGUAACUGGAGCUCCCGAGGGGGAGUAGCUUUGUCAAACCCCUGCCUUCUAGGGACACUGGUGCCUUUAAAACACCUGUAAAUAUAAAUGGUACUUACUGUAGUGGGCCUCAAAAUUUAGUGAGCAUAAGAAUCACUGAAGGAGCUUGUUAGAAGAGAUUUUUCUGGGCAAGUCCCCACUCCACUCAAGUAGGUUUGGGAUGAGGCCAAUAAUUUGCAUUUUUAACAACCAUCCCAGGUGUUUCUUAUGAAAGUGGCCCCACUGACCACAGUUGGAGAAAUACUAGUUUAUUAGAACAAUGAAAUGGGAAAGAAAGAAGUCAGGCCACAGGAAGACUUCCUAGUCACUUCCCUUUCAAAUGAAGAAAAGAAAUAUGCAAAGUGAAUAUUAGUUUUGAUUUCCAGAGAAAUUUUCAUCUAAUGCAAAUGGUAAAUGGAUUCCAGACAUUGGCUAUCACAUGUGGAAAUGAGCUGACCCCAUUAAGAAUAGUAAGAGGGAAAUAAUUUGCUUGCACUUUAAGAUUUAUUUAAUUUGCAACAUAUGUUUAUUAACAAUAAUUUGUUUAUUUCUUUAAAUUGGAGACAAGGCUAGGGUUUGUCUAGCCACAGCUCUGGGUGAAAUUCUAAGCAGACACUUAGUGAAAAUUAGGUCUUCAUUGUAGACAGCAUGCUGCCUCUCCAUCAGUUCUCAAAGACCCUUUUUAAGUUCCUCUGAGGAAUGUUUCUCACUUGAGAUAAAGGGGAAGCUCAAUAUCCUCCUAGGUCACCAUUAUUGAUCUGCCCUAAACUUUCUUUUUUAGCAAAAUGAAGGGCUCUGCAUCAAGGGAUCUUCAUGAAGGAAGAGCUCCUCUCAGCAAGCAGGGCACAAGGUGGCUGAUGUGGUUGAUGUUCUGUAUCCUUGGGGAUAAAAGAGAGGAGAAAGGGUAAUAGGGCUUCUUGGAACAGAAGAGAGGCAAAGCCUAGGAGAAUGUGCUGGAACUGUGGAGGGUGUCAAAGAGAAGAAGAAGGUUCCUGCUGUGCCAGAAACCCUUAAGAAAAAGCAAAGGAAUUUGGCAGAGCUGAAGAUCAAGCGCCUGAGAAAGAAGUUUGCUGAAAACAUGCUUCCAAAGGCAAGGAGGAAGCUUAUCUAUGAAAAAGUGAAGCACUAUCACGGGGAAUAUAGGCUGAUGUACAGGAUUCAAAUGGUGAGGAUGGCAGGAAAAGCUGACAACUUGCAUGUACCUGCAGAACCCAAACUGGUGUUUGUCAUCAGGAUCAGAGGCAUCAACUGGGUGAGCCCAAAGGUCUGAAAGGUGUUACAACUUCUUUGCCUUCAUCAAAUCUUUAAUAGAAAUUUUGUGAAGCUCAACAAGGCUUCAGUUAACAUGCUGAGGAUUGCAGAACCAUGUAUUGCAUGGACAUACUCAAAUCUGAAGUCAGUAAAUAAUCUACAAGUGUGUUAUAACAAAAUCAAUAAGAAGCUAAUUGCUCUGACAGAUAAGACUUUAAUUGCUCGAUCUCUUGGCAAAUAUGGCAUCGUCUGCAUGGAGAAAUCUGAUUUAUGAGAUCUAUACUGUUGGAAAACGCUUCAAAGAAGCGUAUAACUUCUUGUGGCCCUUUAUAUUAUCCUCUCGACAAGGUGGAAUGAAGAAAAAGACCACCCAUUUUGUAGAAGGUGGAGAUGCUGACAACAGGGAAGACCAGAUCAACAGGCUUAUUAGAAGAAUGAACGUGCCUACCACAAUUAUUUUUUCUUAUCUAGCCAGUUAAAAAACAGUACCUGCUCUAAAAUUGCAAAAACCA
This is a long non-coding RNA of Sapajus apella (tufted capuchin), 5713 nucleotides long. RefSeq lists it as uncharacterized. Lineage: Eukaryota; Metazoa; Chordata; Mammalia; Primates; Cebidae. The transcript is spliced from 2 exons. The record is from RefSeq and is a predicted model, not a curated record.